UUUAGGUCAAGCUAAUAAGAGCGUAGGGUGGAUGCCUUGGCACUAAGAGCCGAAGAAAGACGUGAUAAGCUGCGAUAAGUGUUGGUGAGGAGCAAAU
Molecule: ribosomal RNA, 97 nt
Filed under: Mobilisporobacter senegalensis
Lineage: Bacteria; Bacillati; Bacillota; Clostridia; Lachnospirales; Lachnospiraceae
Description: partial 23S ribosomal RNA
Rfam family: Bacterial large subunit ribosomal RNA
Source: RNAcentral